Molecule: long non-coding RNA, 1257 nt
Organism: Sceloporus undulatus (fence lizard)
Lineage: Eukaryota; Metazoa; Chordata; Lepidosauria; Squamata; Phrynosomatidae
Exons: 3
Source: RefSeq, a predicted model, not a curated record
UUUAGCAAUACUGUGUUUAUGGUAACGAAAAACAAAGGCUUCUGAUUUCUUCUGUCAAGCUUUGAUAGCCCUAACUUAAAAGCUAAAGAGGAAGUACAUAAAAUAAAUAAGAAACUUGGGAAGAGCCAUUAUCUAUAUAGUAGCAGUCUAAUAGAGGUUAGACUAUUCCACAGUUUUAUAUCUUGCAUCUUCAUUGGUUCAGUCUUCAUUGAAUCAUUUUGGAGGAUUUUUCUCCACUUUUCCUGGUCAUUUGGAGUUUGACCCAAAUCAAAGUAGCCGUCACUCCCAUUUUAAACAAUCAGCUUUAAAAAGUAAUUGAAUUUAUAUACUGUAAUUGCUUUUAGCUGCAUUGGGCAUGAUUUGGUGGAAAUACAUCGGUGGAAAGAUGGAAUUUAACAAAUGAAACAAAACAAAAAUUGAAGAAAAAACAUUUUAUUGUUGGAUGAAACACAGUCUGCAGAAAUGAAACACAAUCAGAACUGAAGGGAGAAAUUCUAAAUGGUGUCCAAGCUUUGGAGGAGCAAACAGAAGGGGAAGGUUCCUAUAUGGAAGCUCUAAAAUGUCACUCAUCACAGAAAAAAAUUCUUGGAGUCUGCAUCUUCUUUCAAAACAUUUGACAUCACUUCUGAUCUGGAUUUUAUCAAAUUCUCUAGGUGUGGGGAAAAUGUUAAAGCCCUUAAAUAUAGCAGUUCCAUUUUAUUAUGAGAUAAUGUUCCAUCUCUCAGUUUUAUUACAAUUUUAAGGAGAUGUUCAUUUUUAUGUCUGUUAGAUUCUGUUGUAACUAUUAGAAAUGUUGUAUGUGAUCUUUUAAAUUUCUUUUUCCUGAAAUGUUUAAUGGGGUGCUCUUUUGACAUUUUUGCUGAAAAUGUUUGUUUUAAAAUAGAUCCAAUUAGUAUAUAGUAGUAUUAAAUGAUAUAUAUGUGUGCAUGAUAGGACACUGUGUUGAAGAAUUUCUUCUCCCUGGUGUGCCAGUUUGAUUAUAUGCAUGGAAUUUUUAUAUAAAGGAGCAUUUAAGCAUGAGAUCUUCUCUACUUCCAGUCUGAAGUAGCACCAUGCAAAAUUUUACUAACUUUACAUAAUUCCUUGCAAGUAGAGAAAUAGGCCAGCAAUGAGCUGACUACAAUCUGUCUCCAGGCUUUGCUUAUUUAGUUACCUUAAAAAAAAAAGUAACAUGUAUAAUAUCUAUGUGCUGGUUUGCACGAGAUGUGUUAAAUUCUUAAUGUACAAGAACAACUGUAGUUCAUCACACUGCAGGUA